UUUCCGUAGGUGAACCUGCGGAAGGAUCAUUAAUGUUGAGCGGAUGUACGAGGAUUUUCGCUUACUAGGCACGUUGUGCACGACGGAAUGCGCUCGUACACAUCCAUCUCGCCCCUACGAACACCAUCCCAGCAGCCCCGCUAUUGCGUAUUCGGCGGGCGUCUUACGGUUUUACACCAACUAUGGAUACAGUAUAGAGUGUAUCUUGUUUUUUUUGAAUCACGCGAACAUAACAACUAUCAACAACGGAUCUCUUGUCGACCACAUCGCUGAAGAAGG
RNAcentral lists this unclassified non-coding RNA (279 nucleotides) under plant metagenome. Its description in RNAcentral is "partial contains small subunit ribosomal RNA, internal transcribed spacer 1, and 5.8S ribosomal RNA". The record is from RNAcentral.